RNAcentral lists this ribosomal RNA (253 nucleotides) under uncultured bacterium. RNAcentral's name for it is "partial 16S ribosomal RNA". It matches the Rfam family "Bacterial small subunit ribosomal RNA", at positions 524 to 776 of the family's 1533-position model. The record is from RNAcentral.
UACGGAGGGUGCGAGCGUUAUCCGGAAUUACUGGGUUUAAAGGGUGCGUAGGCGGCUAUGUAAGUCAGGAGUGAAAGUUUGCGGCUCAACCGUAAAAUUGCUUUUGAUACUGCAUGGCUAGAAUCAGGAUGAGGUUAGCGGAAUGUGGCAUGUAGCGGUGAAAUGCAUAGAUAUGCCAUAGAACACCAACUGCGAAGGCAGCUGGCUAGACCUGCAUUGACGCUGAGGCACGAAAGCGUGGGGAGCGAACAGG